Molecule: ribosomal RNA, 780 nt
Filed under: uncultured Salmonella sp.
Lineage: Bacteria; Pseudomonadati; Pseudomonadota; Gammaproteobacteria; Enterobacterales; Enterobacteriaceae
Description: bacterial SSU rRNA
Rfam family: Bacterial small subunit ribosomal RNA
Source: RNAcentral
GCGCGUAGGCGGAUUAUCAAGUCUCUUGUGAAAUCUAAUGGCUUAACCAUUAAACUGCUUGGGAAACUGAUAGUCUAGAGUGAGGGAGAGGCAGAUGGAAUUGGUGGUGUAGGGGUAAAAUCCGUAGAUAUCACCAAGAAUACCCAUUGCGAAGGCGAUCUGCUGGAACUCAACUGACGCUAAGGCGCGAAAGCGUGGGGAGCAAACAGGAUUAGAUACCCUGGUAGUCCACGCCCUAAACGAUGUACACUAGUUGUUGGGGUGCUAGUCAUCUCAGUAAUGCAGCUAACGCAUUAAGUGUACCGCCUGGGGAGUACGGUCGCAAGAUUAAAACUCAAAGGAAUAGACGGGGACCCGCACAAGCGGUGGAGCAUGUGGUUUAAUUCGAAGAUACGCGAAGAACCUUACCUGGGCUUGAUAUCCUAAGAACCUUAUAGAGAUAUGAGGGUGCUAGCUUGCUAGAACUUAGAGACAGGUGCUGCACGGCUGUCGUCAGCUCGUGUCGUGAGAUGUUGGGUUAAGUCCCGCAACGAGCGCAACCCACGUAUUUAGUUGCUAACGGUUCGGCCGAGCACUCUAAAUAGACUGCCUUCGUAAGGAGGAGGAAGGUGUGGACGACGUCAAGUCAUCAUGGCCCUUAUGCCCAGGGCGACACACGUGCUACAAUGGCAUAUACAAUGAGACGCAAUACCGCGAGGUGGAGCAAAUCUAUAAAAUAUGUCCCAGUUCGGAUUGUUCUCUGCAACUCGAGAGCAUGAAGCCGGAAUCGCUAGUAAUCGU